RNAcentral lists this unclassified non-coding RNA (347 nucleotides) under uncultured Xenasmataceae. Its description in RNAcentral is "sequence contains ITS1". The stretch from base 1 to 104 matches the Rfam family "5.8S ribosomal RNA", at positions 50 to 154 of the family's 154-position model. The record is from RNAcentral. Lineage: Eukaryota; Fungi; Basidiomycota; Agaricomycetes; Russulales; Xenasmataceae.
GAAUUGCGAUAUGUUAGUGUGAAACGCAGAACAGUGAAUCAUCGAGACUUUGAACGCACCUUGCGCUCUCCGGUCUUCCGGAGAGCAUGCCUGUCUGAGUGUCGCUAAACCCCCAUAGGCCGAAAGGUCUGAUUCGGAUGUGUGCCGUGUUCGGCUCCGUCUAAGAUACAAUCGGAAUGUGGCCAGCUCCGCGUCUUCCGGGACAUUUGAUCGUAAUUACCUUCAUGCGUCUCUUUAGGAAGAUGUCGGUUGUUGUGCUCCCCUCUGCGGAAUGCCUUUGCGGCGCCGUGGUGUGGUCUCUUUAGUGAUGUGGCCUCAGAUCAGGUAGGACUACCCGCUGAACUUAA